CCUACGGGGGGCAGCAGUGGGGAAUAUUGGACAAUGGGCGAAAGCCUGAUCCAGCCAUGCCGCGUGUGUGUAGAAGGCCUUCGGGUUGUAAAGCACUUUCAGUGGGGAAGAAAGCCUUGGGGCUAAUACCCUCGAGGAAGGACAUCACCCACAGAAGAAGCACCGGCUAACUCCGUGCCAGCAGCCGCGGUAAUACGGAGGGUGCGAGCGUUAAUCGGAAUUACUGGGCGUAAAGCGCGCGUAGGCGGUCUGAUAAGCCGGUUGUGAAAGCCCCGGGCUCAACCUGGGAACGGCAUCCGGAACUGUCAGGCUAGAGUGCAGGAGAGGAAGGUAGAAUUCCCGGUGUAGCGGUGAAAUGCGUAGAGAUCGGGAGGAAUACCAGUGGCGAAGGCGGCCUUCUGGACUGACACUGACGCUGAGGUGCGAAAGCGUGGGUAGCAAACAGGAUUAGAUACCCGAGUAGUC
Molecule: ribosomal RNA, 465 nt
Filed under: Vreelandella stevensii
Lineage: Bacteria; Pseudomonadati; Pseudomonadota; Gammaproteobacteria; Oceanospirillales; Halomonadaceae
Description: partial 16S ribosomal RNA
Rfam family: Bacterial small subunit ribosomal RNA
Source: RNAcentral